CACGGGGGGCCUACGGGAGGCAGCAGUGGGGAAUUUUAGACAACGGGGGAAACCAUGAUCCAGCCAUCCCGAGCGUGAGAUGAAGGCGUUGGGGUAGUAAAGCACGUUUUGGCAGGAAGGAAACGUCGCGGGUUAAUACGCCGCGGAACUGACGGUACCUGCAGAAUAAGCACCGGC
RNAcentral lists this ribosomal RNA (177 nucleotides) under uncultured bacterium. RNAcentral's name for it is "partial 16S ribosomal RNA". It matches the Rfam family "Bacterial small subunit ribosomal RNA", at positions 329 to 497 of the family's 1533-position model. The record is from RNAcentral.